This 24-nucleotide unclassified non-coding RNA is filed under the name Chlamydomonas reinhardtii. RNAcentral's name for it is "small RNA Cre_0263". The record is from RNAcentral. Lineage: Eukaryota; Viridiplantae; Chlorophyta; Chlorophyceae; Chlamydomonadales; Chlamydomonadaceae.
ACCGCAGUGUCGGCCGGCACAAAG